GAUGAACGCUGGCGGCGUGCUUAACACAUGCAAGUCGAACGGAAAGGCCCAAGCUUGCUUGGGUACUCGAGUGGCGAACGGGUGAGUAACACGUGGGUGAUCUGCCCUGCACUUCGGGAUAAGCCUGGGAAACUGGGUCUAAUACCGGAUAGGACCACUUCUUGGAUGUUGUGGUGGAAAGUUUUUUCGGUGUGGGAUGAGCUCGCGGCCUAUCAGCUUGUUGGUGGGGUAAUGGCCUACCAAGGCGUCGACGGGUAGCCGGCCUGAGAGGGUGUACGGCCACAUUGGGACUGAGAUACGGCCCAGACUCCUACGGGAGGCAGCAGUGGGGAAUAUUGAACAAUGGGCGCCAGCCUGAUGCAGCGACGCCGCGUGUGGGAUGACGGCCUUCGGGUUGUAAACUCCUUUCGCUAGGGACGAAGCGUUUUGUGACGGUACCUGGAGAAGAAGCACCGGCUAACUACGUG
This 467-nucleotide ribosomal RNA is filed under the name uncultured bacterium. RNAcentral's name for it is "partial 16S ribosomal RNA". It matches the Rfam family "Bacterial small subunit ribosomal RNA", at positions 28 to 507 of the family's 1533-position model. The record is from RNAcentral.